AUUGAACGCUGGCGGCAUGCCUUACACAUGCAAGUCGAACGGCAGCACGGGAGCAAUCCUGGUGGCGAGUGGCGAACGGGUGAGUAAUACAUCGGAACGUGCCCAAUCGUGGGGGAUAACGCAGCGAAAGCUGUGCUAAUACCGCAUACGAUCUACGGAUGAAAGCAGGGGAUCGCAAGACCUUGCGCGAAUGGAGCGGCCGAUGGCAGAUUAGGUAGUUGGUGAGGUAAAGGCUCACCAAGCCGUCGAUCUGUAGCUGGUCUGAGGGGACGACCAGCCACACUGGGACUGAGACACGGCCCAGACUCCUACGGGAGGCAGCAGUGGGGAAUUUUGGACAAUGGGCGAAAGCCUGAUCCAGCCAUGCCGCGUGCAGGAUGAAGGCCUUCGGGUUGUAAACUGCUUUUGUACGGAACGAAACGGCCUUUUCUAAUAAAGAGGGCUAAUGACGGUACCGUAAGAAUAAGCACCGGCUAACUACGUGCCAGCAGCCGCGGUAAUACGUAGGGUGCAAGCGUUAAUCGGAAUUACUGGGCGUAAAGCGUGCGCAGGCGGUUAUGUAAGACAGUUGUGAAAUCCCCGGGCUCAACCUGGGAACUGCAUCUGUGACUGCAUAGCUAGAGUACGGUAGAGGGGGAUGGAAUUCCGCGUGUAGCAGUGAAAUGCGUAGAUAUGCGGGAGGAACACCGAUGGCGAAGGCAAUCCCCUGGACCUGUACUGACGCUCAUGCACGAAAGCGUGGGGAGCAAACAGG
RNAcentral lists this ribosomal RNA (754 nucleotides) under uncultured Comamonadaceae bacterium. RNAcentral describes it as "bacterial SSU rRNA". It matches the Rfam family "Bacterial small subunit ribosomal RNA", at positions 28 to 776 of the family's 1533-position model. Lineage: Bacteria; Pseudomonadati; Pseudomonadota; Betaproteobacteria; Burkholderiales; Comamonadaceae. The record is from RNAcentral.